CGAGUCACCUUCCCCUGUUCAUAUCUCCUUCUGCUGUCUGGGCAGCUGGCUUAGAGGCUUAGUGGGAAGGGACUGGAAGUGAACGAACAGUACUUUCAGGCUGCUCUUGGUCUCAGUAAGGUCUCAUUCCAAAAUGCUGCUGGCAAUUCAUUUUCAGGGUUUGGCCAGCCUGAAGUAACCCAUCUAUUUCGAGGUUUCAAGACCAGGCAGCAGAGGAGGCUAAAUAAGUUUCAGCACCUUGUCUGGAGCCCAAAGAUGAUUCGAGGAAAACUAGAAACCCAGCUGCUGCUCCACUCCAGUCUGAACUUAGAGGCUCAAGGAAAGAACAAAGUCCAUCAGAAGAUUCACCUCUUACAGGAUAUCAAAAAGAGAUAAAAUAGAGGACUGUCCUUUUGGUGCCUAAUGAGACGAGAACAACAGGUAAACA
Long non-coding RNA from Erinaceus europaeus (western European hedgehog), 427 nucleotides. RefSeq lists it as uncharacterized. The transcript has 3 exons. The record is from RefSeq and is a predicted model, not a curated record. NCBI's taxonomy places the organism in Eukaryota, Metazoa, Chordata, Mammalia, Eulipotyphla, Erinaceidae.